UCAAAAGUCCCAUUAAUACAACCACGUCCAAAAGUCCCAUUAAUACAACAUGUAACAGAAUAUUGUAAUCGUACAGUGUCCGCCUGUCCGGUUAGGUUCAUAGCCAUUGUACAAAAGUCAGGAGCUUGGUCUUUCCUUGCUGCAAUUGGGAAAUCAAAAUAGGUUAAUUCAUACGAUAAUUUACAUUUUGUAAAUAUACACAAACAACUCAGGCAAUUUUGCAAACUCUAGGCUCAGAUAUCAACGACGUAGUCGUAUACAUAGAAUAUGAUGGAUUUAUAUUACGAAAGAGCAUUUCACAACGCAAACUUUGAUAAGAGAUUUUGGGCUUGGAAAUCAGAAAGCAGAGGAUUCAGGAGUAUGUAAAGAAGAGGAAACAUUUACAGCAUUUUACAAACUUUAGAACAUGCAGCUACAGACAGCAACCACGUGAUGUUACUGCUGAAAAUGAUAGAGCAAACUAUUGUAGAUUAACACAUACCUCAGGAUUUGGGGGUUGGACUGUUGGGAGCAUGCAUAUAAUUUCAGAAAUCAGCACCCU
This 541-nucleotide long non-coding RNA is filed under the name Panicum hallii. RNAcentral describes it as "long non-coding RNA (PHAL_LNC000099)". Lineage: Eukaryota; Viridiplantae; Streptophyta; Magnoliopsida; Poales; Poaceae. The record is from RNAcentral.